RNAcentral lists this ribosomal RNA (1605 nucleotides) under Triticum aestivum (bread wheat). Its description in RNAcentral is "partial small subunit ribosomal RNA". The record is from RNAcentral. Lineage: Eukaryota; Viridiplantae; Streptophyta; Magnoliopsida; Poales; Poaceae.
AUGGCCAGCGACGACGAUUGCUACGACUACGAGUAUGACUACGACGAAGACGAGGAGGAGGAGGAGGAGGCUAUGGAGGCCGACGAGGACGGCCUGUUCGAGGACGACACGCCGAUGCCGGAUCGCCCCGCCGAUUGCUGGGCAAUUACACAAGAGUCUCUUUCCACUGCACAGCAACAAGAUCUAUCCAUGGUAAUGAACUUGCUCAACGUCAAGCAGCACAACGCUCGUGCUCUCCUCAUCCACCAUCGGUGGAAGAUAGACUGCAUCUACGACCACCUCGACAGGAAGGGGCGAGACCGCAUGUUCAGAGAGGCAGGCAUCGUGCUUCAGGAGAAUAUCAACGGCAAGGCGCUGCCCUCAAGAGUGGUGAACUGCAUGGUGUGCUUUGAUGAAUUCUCUGUGGGUGCCGUCUCCAUCAUGGAAUGUGGCCAUUAUUUCUGCAAUGACUGUUGGACGGAGCACUUCAAGGCGUCUGUGGAUAGCGGCAAGAAGCAGAUCCGGUGCAUGGGGGUGAAGUGCCCGGUGGUGUGCGACGAGGCCGUGGUGCAGCAGCUCCUCGCCGGCAAGUACCCCGACGCGGCCAGGCGCUUCGACCGCUUCCUCCUCGAGUCGUACCUCGAGAACAACGAGUCGGUGAAGUGGUGCCCGAGCGUCCCGCACUGCGGCCGCGCGAUCCGCGUGGGCGCCGGCGAGCGCUACACCGAGGUGGAGUGCCCCUGCGGCCUGGGCUUCUGCUUCGCGUGCGCGGCCGCCGCGCACUCGCCGUGCCCCUGCACCAUGUGGGACAUGUGGGAGGUCAAGUGCAACGGCGAGUCGGAGACCGUCAACUGGAUCCUCGCCAACACCAAGAGCUGCCCCAAGUGCUUCAAGCCCAUCGUCAAGGACGGCGGCUGCAACCUCGUCACCUGCAAGUGCGGCCAGCAUCUAUGUUGGAAGUGCGGCGGCGCGACGGGGUUCGCGCACAACUGGGACAGCAUCGACGGCCACAGCUGCAACCGCUUCGUGGGGGAGGAGAAGAAGAAGGUGGACAACGCCAAGCGCAACCUGCACCGCUACACGCACUACUACGACCGCUUCAAGAUCCACGGCGACUCCCACAAGCUGGAGCACGACAUGCUCGGUCCCGCCAUCGAUGAGCGGGUGAAGGUGCUAGAGGCGCUGCGGGACCAGUCCCUCAUCCAGGACGCCAGCUGGCUCACCGAGGCGCACCGCGGCCUCCUGCAGUCACGCCAGGUGCUGUCGCGCUCCUACGUCUUCGCCUACUACAUGUUCGGCGACGACGACAAGGUGCGGACGUGGCCCGCGAACCGCCACAGCCUGCCCAUCGCGCAGGGCCUCUUCGAGAACUACCAGGAGGAGCUGGAGAGCAACGUGGAGCGCCUCUCCAAGGUGCUCGCCACCGAGUACGGGCCGGUGCCGGACGAGGACGACGUCCGGCGUGACAAGCAGAACGCCAUGAAUCUCACCAAGAUCGUGCAGACGCGAUGCGGGGAGAUCUACAAGUGCAUCCAGGACGAGCUGCUGCCGCUGCUCCUCGACCCCAUGAUCAUCGCCGCCUACCGGCCCCGCGGCCCCGACAAGGCCAAGGAGUUCACGGCCUGA